CCUACGGGAUGCACCAGUGGGGAAUAUUGGACAAUGGGCGAAAGCCUGAUCCAGCAAUGCCGCGUGUGUGAAGAAGGUCUUCGGAUUGUAAAGCACUUUCGACGGGGACGAUGAUGACGGUACCCGUAGAAGAAGCCCCGGCUAACUUCGUGCCAGCAGCCGCGGUAAUACGAAGGGGGCUAGCGUUGCUCGGAAUGACUGGGCGUAAAGGGCGCGUAGGCGGUUUAUGCAGUCAGAUGUGAAAUCCCCGGGCUUAACCUGGGAACUGCAUUUGAGACGCAUAGACUAGAGGUCGAGAGAGGGUUGUGGAAUUCCCAGUGUAGAGGUGAAAUUCGUAGAUAUUGGGAAGAACACCGGUGGCGAAGGCGGCAACCUGGCUCGAUACUGACGCUGAGGCGCGAAAGCGUGGGGAGCAAACAGGAUUAGAUAC
This 430-nucleotide ribosomal RNA is filed under the name uncultured bacterium. Its description in RNAcentral is "bacterial SSU rRNA". It matches the Rfam family "Bacterial small subunit ribosomal RNA", at positions 338 to 785 of the family's 1533-position model. The record is from RNAcentral.